RNAcentral lists this long non-coding RNA (241 nucleotides) under Capsicum annuum. RNAcentral's name for it is "long non-coding RNA (CANN_LNC004060)". The record is from RNAcentral. Lineage: Eukaryota; Viridiplantae; Streptophyta; Magnoliopsida; Solanales; Solanaceae.
UCGCCAGAAAACUUCCAAAAAUCCACAGGUAUCUCAUCAGGCCCCGUCGCCCUACCCCUUCGCAUCCUAGGAAUAACCUCUCUAACCUCCUCUACCUUAAAACGUCUACAAUAACUAAAAUCCCAACACUCCUCUGAGUGCUCCAGCUCCCCUAACACAAUAGCUCUAUCCCCUUCGUCAUUCAAGAGCCUAUGAAAAUACGACUGCCAUCUAUUCUUAAUGUGGCCGUCCUCCACCAACA